GAUGAACGCUGGCGGCGUGCCUAAUACAUGCAAGUCGAGCGAACAGACGAGGAGCUUGCUCCUUUGACGUUAGCGGCGGACGGGUGAGUAACACGUGGAUAACCUACCUAUAAGACUGGGAUAACUUCGGGAAACCGGAGCUAAUACCGGAUAACAUGUUGAACCGCAUGGUUCAACAGUGAAAGACGGUCUUGCUGGCACUUAUAGAUGGAUCCGCGCCGCAUUAGCUAGUUGGUAAGGUAACGGCUUACCAAGGCAACGAUGCGUAGCCGACCUGAGAGGGUGAUCGGCCACACUGGAACUGAGACACGGUCCAGAAUCAUACGGGAGGCAGCAGUAGGGAAUCUGCCGCAAAGGGCGAAAGCCUGACGGAGCAACGCCGCGUGAGUGAAGAAGGUCUUCGGAUCGUAAAACUCUGUUAUUAGGGAAGAACAAAUGUGUAAGUAACUAUGCACGUCUUGACGGUACCUAAUCAGAAAGCCACGGCUAACUACGUG
This 497-nucleotide ribosomal RNA is filed under the name uncultured bacterium. RNAcentral describes it as "partial 16S ribosomal RNA". It matches the Rfam family "Bacterial small subunit ribosomal RNA", at positions 28 to 507 of the family's 1533-position model. The record is from RNAcentral.